This is a long non-coding RNA of Glycine soja, 3578 nucleotides long. RefSeq lists it as uncharacterized. NCBI's taxonomy places the organism in Eukaryota, Viridiplantae, Streptophyta, Magnoliopsida, Fabales, Fabaceae. The record is from RefSeq and is a predicted model, not a curated record. The transcript has 2 exons.
UUUUUUUCCUAUUAAUCCUUGAUGUUUGAGAACUUCACCACUCUUUCUGAUAACAAAAAUAUUUUGACUCGCAUAAUACCACACAACAAUGUUUUCUGAAAUGGGACUGUUAUAAUUUAUAUAUAACAAACAUAUUGGACUUACAUAUUGUGGGUCUGCCACGUCUGAAUCAUAUUGCAUUUAGCAAAAAGUUUUGGCAACAUAUAGUGGCAUUUGCAUUUCUGUUCUGGGAAUAAUAGAAGAGAUCUAAGGAGAUCUAUUUACCAGGAAAAACACCAUAAGGAACAAGAAUGCAAUGGUACAACAAUGAAUUUACCUAUUAUAUCAGUACACAACAUGAAUGAUCACAAUUGUUGCAGUUCUAUGACAAGUGUUGGAUGGAUGAUUACAACAUGGAAAAAAAUACAAUGAAAUUCUGACAACAAGGACUUCCAUAACAACUUCGAGUGUCAUGCAUGGAUCACAGUGUCUCAAUCCUACACUGUAGAAGAAUUGCUGAAGGAUACGUUGCACAAGCUAUGCAAAGAAAAAUUGGAGACACCUCUUCACAAUGAUUCAUUGAUAGAUGAAAUGAGAAAUCACUUGCGCCACAAAAGGUAUGUCGUCCUGUUUCAUGACGUAUGGGAUAAAAAGUUUUCGGAUGGUAUUGAUUUUGCUAUAAUUGAUAAAAAUUCGGACACAGGUAUCAAUCACUACUUCGGACACAGGUUGCGGAGUUUUGUCAGAUAACUUCCUUCAUUCAGGUGUAUAAGCUAGAACCUUUAAGUGACGAAAAAUCUUUGGAAUUGUUAUGAUGUGGAAAGGCAUUUUUUUCGGGUUUUGGUGGAUGCUGUACAAAAGAAUAUGAAGACGUAGGUCUUGAAAUGGUUAGAAAGUGUGAACGUUUACCUCUAGCAAUUGUUGCAUUGGUGGUCUUUUAUAUAGCAAAUGUCAAAGUGCACUUGAAUGGACAGGUUUAGUCAAAAUCUAUGUUCGGAGUUGAAGAGGAAUUCUGAGUUAAUUAGUAUUUAAAAAGAAAAAUUGGUUUGAGUUAUGAUGAUUUUCUGUUCAAUCUCAGAUCAUGUUUAUUGUAUUUUAGAAUGUAUCCGGAAGACUAUGAAGUUAAAUCUGGAAGAUUGAUUACGCAGUGGAUAGCUGAAGGGUUUGUCAAACAUGAAAAUGGAAGAACUUUAGAAGAAGUUGCACAACAACAUUUAAUGGAGUUGAUCACUACAAGUUUGGUGCAAGUAUCUUCAUUUACUAUAGAUGACAAAGUUAAAGGAUGUCGUGUUCAUGACUUAAUACAUGAAAUGAUCCUUGGAAAUAUCAAGGAUACAUGGAUUUGUCUGUAUAUUGAUGAGCAUAAUCAAUUGGUGUCAAGUGCGAUCGUUAGACGCUUAACAAUAGGAUCAGAUUCCAAUGAUUUAAUUGAAAAUACUGAAAGAUCACGCAUUCGGUCAGUUCUAAUUUUCACAAAGCAAAAGUUACCCGAAUACUUAAUCAGUGGAAUACUUGAAAAAUACAUACCAUUGAAGGUACUUGAUUUUGAAGAUGCUAUACUAUAUCAUCUUCCUGAAAAUUGGGGGAAUUUAAUCCACUUGAAGUAUCUGAGCUUCAUGGUAUACACAGAUAGAAAGUCUUCCAAAAUCCAUUGGUAAGCUCCAGAACUUGGAGACCUUGGAUGUAAGACAAACAAAAGUGUUUCAGAUACCAAAGGAGAUUAGCAAGCUUUUAAAGCUACGUCAUCUUCUGGCUAACGAAAUAUCUUCAAUUGCAGUGAAGGAUAGUAUUGGAGGCAUGACAUCUCUACAAAAAAUAUGCCUUCUGUAAGGAUUAUAGCGACUAAGGGGAACCAUUUAUACAAACUUGGAAGAAUUCAUUAUCAACUUCACUCAACUCCAACAGCUUAGUAAGGUGUGCAAGGGAAAUAAUGGAAAAUUUACUUGGUUUGCAACUGUUUGAAGUUUGAAGAACUAGGCUUUUUCGAAAAGGGUUAUAAUUAUAAUUUUCCACCAGUCCUAAGCCCUGACUAUGUCUCCAUUUUACUUCAAAUUGCUUGUGGUUGAUGCGUUCAAAUUGCUUGAUGAGUUCUUCACAAGUCCUAAGCACCUCUACUUGGUUGAUGCUCGAAUCCGUGGAUGCAAGUGAUGAUAUAUGUGGUUGCAUGUUGAUUUUGGAGGAUCCGUUCGCAUGCACGGAGAAAUUUGGCCCUGUUCUGAUUUUUGGUGUUUUGAUCUGAUCUUGGAUGCAUCUUGUGUUAUUAAAAAGGAUAUUUGGUUGAAGGAAAUGUGAUGUCUAUAUCAUUGUGAAGCUUAAAUGGUACACACAUUUUGGUAAAAAGUGAUAGGUGCUCACUUAGGUUUGAGUAUUCUCUGUUUUCUAUCCAUACUGUUUUAUUUUAUUUAAUGUGUUCUGGAAUGUUAAAAAUAAAAAAAGGUAGUUGAUUUAUGUUGAUAUAUGGGUUGGUAGUAUCCUAUAAAAUUUUCAGAAUUUUUUAUGAUAAUAUUGUUGGAAGAAUAUGGAUUGAACCCUAUGUUCAUUCUCUGCAUUUCCAGUGAGGAUGUUCGUGCUCUGGAUCAAUCAUUAUUUUUCUCUGACAAUUUUUGGAGAGAUAAUUAUUUUUUUGUGUUCUUAAGAUCAUAAGGAGUAUGUCCAAAUAUUUUUGUGUGAAAAUAUUAAUGUCAACAAUUUUAAUAAAAUCUAGAAAAGGAUGAAUGUUCUUUGAUGUUCUGGGUUUUUCUGGGUGAAUGUUGAUACGGUUCUUCACUUACUAGGAUGAAUCUCUGUUGAAUUUUGGGGAAAAAAAUAUUAGGAUGUUUCUGUAUUUGUUUGAUGCAGCUGUAUAAAGCAAUAAAGAAAUAAUAGCUCAAGCUUUUGCUAUAAAUGUGUGGCAGGAAUUGAUCCUACACAUACGAGUUCCUCUAUGCUGUUCUUUUAUUUCCUCUUGUCUAACUUCAUAUAAAGAAUUUUGUAGUCCUUUGGAAUUCCAGUGAAAAGAAGUUGGGAAUGGAGAACAUCUAACUUUCAUCAAUGCUUCCAUCCGAAAAUUACCACACUCAACGUAAUCUACCACCUAUGCUCAAUAACUUGGGGUAUUCAUGAGUGUAAUUGCUGCCUAGAUUAUUUUAACUUUUGAGUUCUGGUGGACACUGCAGUGAGGAACAAUUCAUUUGAUGAGAUGUUCUUGCUGGUGGGAUUGGUACUCUAGAUGAGGUGUUUAAGAUACAGGCAUGCACUGAUUCAGCUUGAAUGGAUUGGACCAGAGCUCUUUGUGUUCUCUUCUAGAAGAAGUGUUUGAGAUACAGGCACUGAUUCAGCUUGAAAUGAAUUGGAGUAUGCUUUAUUUCUCUUUGUCUACAUCACACUGAUAGGUGUUAGACAUAAAAUUAUGGCUAAAUUACUAUGUUGGUCUUGUAUCUCUAUUUUAUAUUGUAAUUUAAGCUUCUAUUUGUUAAAAGUUACAAAAUGAUAUUUUAUUUAUUAAAAGCUGUAAAAUGGUUUCUUACAUAAUUUAUUUAUUGUAUCUUUACUUCUGAAGUAAUGUCUUUUUCAGUUGUUUUGGAUAAAUAAAAAAUAAUUAUUUUAAGUUAUAACUAAUA